This 405-nucleotide ribosomal RNA is filed under the name uncultured Eubacteriales bacterium. RNAcentral describes it as "uncultured Clostridiales bacterium partial 16S ribosomal RNA". It matches the Rfam family "Bacterial small subunit ribosomal RNA", at positions 355 to 774 of the family's 1533-position model. Lineage: Bacteria; Bacillati; Bacillota; Clostridia; Eubacteriales. The record is from RNAcentral.
UGGGGAAUAUUGGGCAAUGGAGGCAACUCUGACCCAGCAACGCCGCGUGAAGGAAGAAGGUUUUCGGAUUGUAAACUUCUGUCGCAGGGGACGAAAAAAAUGACGGUACCCUGCAAGAAAGCCCCGGCUAACUACGUGCCAGCAGCCGCGGUAAUACGUAGGGGGCAAGCGUUGUUCGGAAUUACUGGGCGUAAAGGGUGCGUAGGCGGCCCGAUAAGUCAGAUGUGAAAUCCCCGAGCUCAACUUGGGUGUUGCAUUUGAAACUAUAGGGCUUGAGUGCAGGAGAGGAAAGCGGAAUUCCUAGUGUAGCGGUGAAAUGCGUAGAUAUUAGGAGGAACACCAGUGGCGAAGGCGGCUUUCUGGACUGUAACUGACGCUGAGGCACGAAAGCGUGGGGAGCAAACA